RNAcentral lists this ribosomal RNA (453 nucleotides) under uncultured bacterium. Its description in RNAcentral is "bacterial SSU rRNA". It matches the Rfam family "Bacterial small subunit ribosomal RNA", at positions 29 to 477 of the family's 1533-position model. The record is from RNAcentral.
AGCGAACGUUUGCGGCGGGCUUAACACAUGCAAGUCGAACGAGAAUCCCUUCGGGGAGGAAAGUGGCGCACGGGUGCGUAACACGUGGAUAACCAACCCAUUGGUUUGGGACAACACCGGGAAACUGGUGCUAAUACCAGAUGUGUCGCAGCUGUCUUCAGGCGGUUGCGAGAAAGGCCCGCAAGGGUCGCCAACGGACGGGUCCGCGUCCCAUCAGCUAGUUGGUGAGGUAAUGGCUCACCAAGGCAAAGACGCCUAGCUGGUCUGAGAGGAUGAUCAGCCACACUGGGACUGAGACACGGCCCAGACUCCUACGGGAGGCAGCAGUGGGGAAUAUUGGACAAUGGGCGCAAGCCUGAUCCAGCCACGCCGCGUGAGUGAUGAAGGCCUCGGUCGUAAGACUCUGUGGGAGGGACGGAAUAGGCGCCGUCGAAGAGACGGCGAGUGACGGUA